UUGGUUAAGUUAGAAAGGGCGCACGGUGGAUGCCUUGGCACUAGGAGCCGAAGAAGGACGGGACUAACACCGAUAUGCUUUGGGGAGCUGUACGUAAGCGUUGAUCCAGAGAUUUCCGAAUGGGGGAACCCACUAUCUUUAGUCGGAUAGUAUCCUUACGUGAAUACAUAGCGUGAGGAAGGCAGACCCAGGGAACUGAAACAUCUAAGUACCUGGAGGAAGAGAAAGAAAAAUCGAUUUCCUGAGUAGCGGCGAGCGAAACGGAAAGAGCCCAAACCAAGAAGCUUGCUUCUUGGGGUUGUAGGACACUCUAUACGGAGUUACAAAAGAAAGUUAUAAAUGAAGCGGUCUGGAAAGGCCCGCCAAAGACGGUAACAGCCCGGUAGUUGAAAUAGCUUUCCCUCCAGAGUGGAUCCUGAGUACGGCGGAACACGUGAAAUUCCGUCGGAAUCCGGGAGGACCAUCUCCCAAGGCUAAAUACUCCCUAGUGACCGAUAGUGAACCAGUACCGUGAGGGAAAGGUGAAAAGCACCCCGGAAGGGGAGUGAAACAGUUCCUGAAACCGUGUGCCUACAAGUAGUUAGAGCCCGUUAAUGGGUGAUAGCGUGCCUUUUGUAGAAUGAACCGGCGAGUUACGAUUUGUUGCAAGGUUAAGCGGAAAAAGCGGAGCCGUAGCGAAAGCGAGUCUGAAUAGGGCGCAUAAGUAACAGGUCGUAGACCCGAAACCAGGUGAUCUACCCAUGUCCAGGAUGAAGGUAAGGUAAUACUUACUGGAGGUCCGAACCCACGCACGUUGAAAAGUGCGGGGAUGAGGUGUGGGUAGCGGAGAAAUUCCAAUCGAACUUGGAGAUAGCUGGUUCUCUCCGAAAUAGCUUUAGGGCUAGCCUCGAGGUAAAGAGUCAUGGAGGUAGAGCACUGUUUGGACUAGGGGCCCUUCUCGGGUUACCGAAUUCAGAUAAACUCCGAAUGCCAUGUACUUAUACUCGGGAGUCAGACUGCGAGUGAUAAGAUCCGUAGUCGAAAGGGAAACAGCCCAGACCACCAGUUAAGGUCCCCAAAUAUAUGUUAAGUGGAAAAGGAUGUGGGGUUGCUUAGACAACCAGGAUGUUGGCUUAGAAGCAGCCACCAUUGAAAGAGUGCGUAAUAGCUCACUGGUCGAGUGACCCCGCGCCGAAAAUGUACCGGGGCUAAACAUAUUACCGAAACUGUGGAUGAACCUCUUUAGAGGUUCGUGGUAGGAGAGCGUUCUAAGGGCGGUGAAGUCAGACCGGAAGGACUGGUGGAGCGCUUAGAAGUGAGAAUGCCGGUAUGAGUAGCGAAAGAAGGGUGAGAAUCCCUUCCACCGAAUAUCUAAGGUUUCCUGAGGAAGGCUCGUCCGCUCAGGGUUAGUCGGGACCUAAGCCGAGGCCGAUAGGCGUAGGCGAUGGACAACAGGUAGAGAUUCCUGUACCAGUGCUAAUUGUUUAACCGAUGGGGUGACACAGAAGGAUAGGGAAUCGCACGAAUGGAAAUGUGCGUCCAAGCAGUGAGUGUGAGAAGUAGGCAAAUCCGCUUCUCGCGAAGCAUGAGCUGUGAUGGGGAAGGAAAUUAAGUACGGAAGUUCCUGAUUUCACGCUGUCAAGAA
Molecule: ribosomal RNA, 1624 nt
Filed under: Listeria monocytogenes
Lineage: Bacteria; Bacillati; Bacillota; Bacilli; Caryophanales; Listeriaceae
Description: partial 23S ribosomal RNA
Rfam family: Bacterial large subunit ribosomal RNA
Source: RNAcentral